RNAcentral lists this ribosomal RNA (106 nucleotides) under Pteropus alecto (black flying fox). The record is from RNAcentral. Lineage: Eukaryota; Metazoa; Chordata; Mammalia; Chiroptera; Pteropodidae.
AUCUACGGCCAUGCCACCUUGAAUGUGCCCUAUCUUGUCUGAUCUCGGAAGCUAAGCAGGGCGGGGACUGGUUAGUACUUGGAUGGGAGACUAGGUGCUGUAGGCG